RNAcentral lists this unclassified non-coding RNA (395 nucleotides) under soil metagenome. Its description in RNAcentral is "partial contains 5.8S ribosomal RNA, internal transcribed spacer 2, and large subunit ribosomal RNA". The stretch from base 1 to 122 matches the Rfam family "5.8S ribosomal RNA", at positions 35 to 154 of the family's 154-position model. The record is from RNAcentral.
GAUGAAGAACGUAGCGAAAUGCGAUACUUGGUGUGAAUUGCAGAAUCCCGUGAACCAUCGAGUCUUUGAACGCAAGUUGCGCCCGAAGCCAUUAGGCCGAGGGCACGCCUGCCUGGGUGUCACACACCGUUACCCUCGCGCCAACGUCCAUCGUUGGCCGCGGCGCGGGGCGUGCGCUGACCUCCCGCGAGCGGGGUCUCGUGGUUGGUUGAAAAUCGAGUUCGCGGUCGAGGGUGCCGUGAUGAAAUGGUGGAUGAUGAGGCCCGAGGCCAAUCACGCGCGACUCUGUCCGGCUCGGACUCCUGGACCCCUUCGGCGUCUCCGGACGCUCUUUGGCGAGACCUCAGGUCAGGCGGGGCUACCCGCUGAGUUUAAGCAUAUCAAUAAGCGGAGGA